UCAACAGUAUGUUCGGCGACGACAGCGAC
RNAcentral lists this non-coding RNA (29 nucleotides) under Bombyx mori (domestic silkworm). The record is from RNAcentral. Lineage: Eukaryota; Metazoa; Arthropoda; Insecta; Lepidoptera; Bombycidae.